Electrophorus electricus (electric eel) is the source of this 330-nucleotide non-coding RNA. The record is from RefSeq and is a predicted model, not a curated record. NCBI's taxonomy places the organism in Eukaryota, Metazoa, Chordata, Actinopteri, Gymnotiformes, Gymnotidae.
GGCGACUCGUUUUUUUUCCUUGUUUGCAUUCGUCCGACGCCGGAGGAUGAAACGAAUCGACGCGGAGAUGUGGCCUAACUCAGUAAAGGCGAAGAUUCCUUGACGAACACCCUGAGAUUCAAGUAGGAUCAUCCAAUCCGGAGGUGAUGAGCUUCCUGACGCAUCAACACUGCUGAGCUGCGGCAGGUAGUAAAAAUGAUCUGCUGCCACCUGGUGGACAAAUGGUAAUUUUCACAUUAAAAGCCGAGGGACCCCCUUCCCCCCGGGAUGACUUUUCUGAGUGCUACUGUUUCUGCUGACGAAAGCUAGGAUCCAGCCUUGGCACAGUGC